UCAAAUACUCUCAAUUUUUACUCAUAGAUUUAAUAUCUGUUAGGAACUGUUUAAAUGAAAAAAAACUAAAUAAACAAAUGAAUGAACAACUAUACUUAUUUUCUCAAUAAAUGAUAGGUUGUGUUUCAUAGCAUUAUUAUUUAUGUAGAUUCUCUUCAGUUGACGGUGUGAUUCUGGGUUCCUGCGUGAGAGACGGGAGAGUCUUAUUUCAGCAGUGUAGUGGGUGAUACGUGAAUACGUUCUUAGCGAUUACUUACUAAAAUCCUUAGUAAUAACAGUACGUUAUUAGGGCAGAUCUGUCUCUAUAAAUCAGGUGUUAUUAUUAUUAUUGUGUCACUAAUGAAUGAAUAGUAACGAGAUAAUGAAUGGUGAGGCCGAGGGGCACCGUAUCCAGGGGCUGAGCCGAGUGAUACGAGGAUGAAUGAAGUGAGUGUGUGUGUGUAUGUAGUUUUGAUUACAGGUGAUCCAGGUGCAUGCACAACCUACAGCGGAGAUGCUUAUUCGAGUGACUACCAGAUAGGACAGCGACGGACUAGGCGGGGUGCCCCCAGUGAUUGCCAGGAACUUCGAUCACAUCUCAUCUGCCGAUUGGAUCACAUCUCAUCUGCCGAUUGUUGCCUCUGACUGCAAGUUUACGUACCACACCCGUAAGCAGCAACAACAACAAGAUCCUCCGGUACACCAGCAACAACAGGUGCAGCAGCUACAAGAGCAGCAGUUAUAACAACAACAGGAAUAGCAAGUAAAUCAAGAGCAAUUACGUUACUAUGAAAUUAUACUAGAAAGUGAGCAUCCCGUAUAAUCUAAUAAAAGAAAAGUUCUGUUGGCCUGUGAUGAGGUCUCGACAAAGCAAUAACGAAUAUGUUCAGAGCAUAAUAUUGACAAUAGCAACAAAGUAUACUUUAUUUAUUUCUACAUAUUCUUGUAAUUUAUAUUACAUGCAUA
Anoplophora glabripennis (Asian longhorned beetle) is the source of this 945-nucleotide long non-coding RNA. RefSeq lists it as uncharacterized. Lineage: Eukaryota; Metazoa; Arthropoda; Insecta; Coleoptera; Cerambycidae. The record is from RefSeq and is a predicted model, not a curated record. The transcript has 3 exons.